CCUACGGGAGGCAGCAGUAGGGAAUCUUCCACAAUGGGCGAAAGCCUGAUGGAGCAACGCCGCGUGGGUGAAGAAGGUCUUCGGAUCGUAAAACCCUGUUGUUAGAGAAGAACGUGCGUGAGAGUAACUGUUCACGUUUCGACGGUAUCUAACACGAAAGCCACGGCUAACUACGUGCCAGCAGCCGCGGUAAUACGUAGGUGGCAAGCGUUAUCCGGAUUUAUUGGGCGUAAAGGUAACGCAGGCGGUCCUUUAAGUAUGAUGUGAACGCCUUCGGGUUAACCGGAGUAGUGCAUUGGAAACUGGGAGACUUGAGUGCAGAAGAGGAGAGUGGAACGCCAUGUGUAGCGGUGAAAUGCGUAUAUA
This 366-nucleotide ribosomal RNA is filed under the name uncultured bacterium. RNAcentral's name for it is "partial 16S ribosomal RNA". It matches the Rfam family "Bacterial small subunit ribosomal RNA", at positions 338 to 696 of the family's 1533-position model. The record is from RNAcentral.